This is a long non-coding RNA of Onychostoma macrolepis, 1300 nucleotides long. RefSeq lists it as uncharacterized. The transcript is spliced from 4 exons. The record is from RefSeq and is a predicted model, not a curated record. Lineage: Eukaryota; Metazoa; Chordata; Actinopteri; Cypriniformes; Cyprinidae.
GGCGUGAUAGAUCGUUGUAGACACCUCAGAUCAAGCGAUUCGCUUUACUAUACUCGCCUGUGAGUAAUCAAAGACACAGCAAAAGACCUUUAUUUUUGUUCUGGAGACGAUCGCGCGCACUGCUGCCUCACUGGAGCGCACUCGCCACCAACUGGACAGGGCUGGGAAUUACAGUUAUAAACUACAAUAGAUCACCCUCAGUGUGUGUAAUCUGCCAAAGUGACGGACGGCCUUCAGAUUUUUCCGUCACUGCUAAAAAAAAAAUUUUCGGUUAACGCGACCUCUGGUAUGAUGUGACCUAACAGAAGCUUAUUAAAGGAAUAGUUCACACAAAAAUUAUGUGUUCAGUAGAAGAAAUAAAUUCAUACAGGUUUGGACCAACUUGAGGUUUUUGGUCACAUAUAAGUGUAAGCAGCUCUGCUGUGGAAACCUCUCUCCUCUUCUCCAGUAAAUGUAUCACAUCCUACAACCUCAUCAUCUGCAGAGAAAAAUCACCACUUACUCACACCAAAAUGAUGGACUUAAAGGCAUCAUAUUGAUUGGAUUGUGAUUGUUUCACUGAAACUUGGUCUUCAUCACAUCUAUUUUUUGUUCUUAUUUUGCGUUUUACUUCUUUAUUUAUUCAUUCAUGUUCAAUGUCAAUUGUCAUUCAUUAAUGUAUUCAGCUAAUAACUCUUGGUAAGAGCACUGACAAUUUUGCAUGUCAAUAAAAACACACUUAAUUCACACAACAUGCUGCUGUUGUGGUUAUUGUUGUUGUUGUUUUACUGUAAAACCUUAACCGAGGCUACACUCUUAAGAUGCCUCAUUACUGAUUUUCUGGAGAUCAGCCAUCCAACUACACAGACUGUCAACACACUCUCUUAAAAUGUCUAUAAAUUAUAACUUUCAAAUGCUAAUUGGUUUUUCUAUGUCUUUUCUAUUUUUAGUUUAAGAGAACAUGUAAUUGUGACCAGCUCUAUUCAGAUGCUGUCACAUCCUUCAACCUCAUCAUCUGCAGAGAGAAACUGCCAUUCAAUCACACCAAAAUACAGAUAACGAUUAACUAAGGGGCAUUGUAGAGGAUUGUGACGAUAUUUCACUGGAGCUUGGUCUUCAAUUCACUAUUUUAUGUUCUAUUUUGUUUUACUUCUUUAAGCAGUUAUUUAUGUUCAAUGUCCAUUGUCAUUCAUUAAUGUAUUCUGCUAAUAACUGUUGUUAGAACACUGUCAUUUUUGCUACAAUUUCACGUCAUUAAAAAAAAAAAAGUACAUAAUUGACACGUUGUUGUUGAUUUUAUGUAAAACCCUAGACACUUCAA